RNAcentral lists this ribosomal RNA (162 nucleotides) under uncultured bacterium. RNAcentral's name for it is "partial 16S ribosomal RNA". It matches the Rfam family "Bacterial small subunit ribosomal RNA", at positions 393 to 539 of the family's 1533-position model. The record is from RNAcentral.
AAUGCCGCGUGUGUGAAGAAGGCCUGCGGGUUGUAAAGCACUUUAGUUGGGGAGGAAGGCCUUAAAUCGAAUAGAUUUGAGGAUUGACGUUACCCAAAGAAUAAGCACCGGCUAACUCUGUGCCAGCCACUGCGGUGACUGAGCGGGCUGGCAAGGCGCAUA